UACGGAGGGUCCAAGCGUUAUCCGGAAUCAUUGGGUUUAAAGGGUCCGUAGGCGGUUUUGUAAGUCAGUGGUGAAAGCCCAUCGCUCAACGGUGGAACGGCCAUUGAUACUGCAAGACUUGAAUUGCUAGGAAGUAACUAGAAUAUGUAGUGUAGCGGUGAAAUGCUUAGAUAUUACAUGGAAUACCAAUUGCGAAGGCAGGUUACUGCUAGUGGAUUGACGCUGAUGGACGAAAGCGUGGGGAGCGAACAGG
RNAcentral lists this ribosomal RNA (253 nucleotides) under uncultured bacterium. RNAcentral's name for it is "partial 16S ribosomal RNA". It matches the Rfam family "Bacterial small subunit ribosomal RNA", at positions 524 to 776 of the family's 1533-position model. The record is from RNAcentral.